GACGAACGCUGGCGGCGUGCUUAACACAUGCAAGUCGAACGGAAAGGCCCUGCUUUUGUGGGGUGCUCGAGUGGCGAACGGGUGAGUAACACGUGAGUAACCUGCCCUUUACUUUGGGAUAACUUCAGGAAACUGGGGCUAAUACCUGAUAGGAGCUCCUGCUGCAUGGUGGGGGUUGGAAAGUUUCGGCGGUUGGGGAUGGACUCGCGGCUUAUCAGCUUGUUGGUGGGGUAGUGGCUUACCAAGGCUUUGAAGGGUAGCCGGCCUGAGAGGGUGACCGGCGACAUUGGGACUGAGAUACGGCCCAGACUCCUACGGGAGGCAGAAGUGGGGAAUAUUGCACAAUGGGCGGAAGCCUGAUGCAGCAACGCCGCGUGCGGGAUGACGGCCUUCGGGUUGUAAACCGCUUUAGCCUGUGACGAAGCGUGAGUGACGGUAAUGGGUAAAGAAGCACCGGCUAACUACGUG
This 468-nucleotide ribosomal RNA is filed under the name uncultured bacterium. RNAcentral's name for it is "partial 16S ribosomal RNA". It matches the Rfam family "Bacterial small subunit ribosomal RNA", at positions 28 to 507 of the family's 1533-position model. The record is from RNAcentral.